AGAUUGAACGCUGGCGGCAUGCCUUACACAUGCAAGUCGAACGGCAGCACGGGAGCAAUCCUGGUGGCGAGUGGCGAACGGGUGAGUAAUACAUCGGAACGUGCCCAGUUGUGGGGGAUAGCCCGGCGAAAGCCGGAUUAAUACCGCAUACGACCUACGGGUGAAAGCGGGGGAUCGCAAGACCUCGCGCUAUUGGAGCGGCCGAUGUCGGAUUAGCUUGUUGGUAGGGUAAAAGCCUACCAAGGCUACGAUCCGUAGCUGGUCUGAGAGGACGACCAGCCACACUGGGACUGAGACACGGCCCAGACUCCUACGGGAGGCAGCAGUGGGGAAUUUGGACAAUGGGCGAAAGCCUGAUCCAGCCAUGCCGCGUGCCGAGGAUGGAAGGUCCUUCGGGUUGUAAACUGUCUUUUGUACGGAACGAAAGUCUCUUACCUAAUAAAGAGGAUACGAUAGAACGGUACCGUAAGAAUAAGGACACCGGACUAACGUACGUACGCCAGCCGAGCCGACGGUAA
This 518-nucleotide ribosomal RNA is filed under the name uncultured soil bacterium. Its description in RNAcentral is "bacterial SSU rRNA". It matches the Rfam family "Bacterial small subunit ribosomal RNA", at positions 26 to 523 of the family's 1533-position model. The record is from RNAcentral.